Molecule: long non-coding RNA, 1096 nt
Organism: Prinia subflava (tawny-flanked prinia)
Lineage: Eukaryota; Metazoa; Chordata; Aves; Passeriformes; Cisticolidae
Exons: 3
Source: RefSeq, a predicted model, not a curated record
UUGAAAAAAAUUAUACAUGAACAGUUGGGAUAGCUUGCCCUACCAUGAAUUUCCUACAAGAAGUGCUCUUAAAUGCUAAAGUAAACAACAUGUGCAUAUUUUUAAUCAUAUGAGUCUUACAUUACAUUUUGUUUUCUUAUUUAAGCUAGAAAUCACAGUGAAACAUGAAGAGCAGUAAGGUAAGUCAGUGAGCUGAGUAUAUUGUUCCCGAAGUCACAGUCAUCUGAUUUUGUCACUUGAUUGUGGAACUCUAACUAUUUUUUACUAGAACAAGAAAAUAAACAUGAGGGAUUUUUCUCAGUGUCAUAAGUUUACAUUGCAUCAAAUCUGAAAAGCAAACAUUGAAUGAACCAAAGGCCAAAGGUGAGGGAAGUGCCUCAGCUUAUGAGGCAGCUCAGACAACUCCAUGGAAAGGACAGGCCGGUGGAGUUGAAGCAAAAACAUCAACCCACCACGUUCAACUUUUGCUUUGCAGAACCUUUCUACUGCUACAGUCUUAGGUAAACAGGUAGAUUUUUUUUCUUGGGGAAACUGUGUAUUUCAGAACAUAAAUGAGUCAUUUAUGCAAAUGCAGGAAGUGCUUGAAAGCCUGCACAAUGUGUGAUCUGAGAAAGAGGAUUCAGAAUGAACAGACUGCUGUCUGCAGGGCAGUGCAGGGCUCAUGGCAUCAAUCCCACCCCACAGGGACACAGCUCAGUUCCCAGAAUCACCAGGAGCCUGCCUUAUGCCAGGUAUUUUCCUAACUUCUGGAGAGGAGUUUUUCUUCCCUUUACCACAGACACAGCGCGUGGAUUAUAAUCUCCAGAUCAGAAGCUAUUCUUGACUUUUAGAACCAUAAUUGUACCUCUUUCCAUUAUUUCUCCUGGUUUUGUAUUCCCAGAGUGCUUUUGCAUGGGGUGCUCUGCUUUAACCCUCUGGAUGGAAUAACCCACCCCUAAAGAGCUUCAAGCUUAUCCAGAACUCUCCUGCUGGGCUUGCUUCUUUUAAGUAAGAUUAGCAAGUCAAUCAUCAAGUGUCCACCGUGUUUUACUGAUCUCUGCUGUGACACAGGAAGCUCAACCAUGUGUGAUCCCAGGAGAGCCACUGAGAAUGUGAC